UGGGGAAUAUUGCACAAUGGGGGAAACCCUGAUGCAGCGACGCCGCGUGAAGGAAGAAGGUUUUCGGAUCGUAAACUUCUAUCAGCAAGGAAGAAAACAGACGGUACUUGACUAAGAAGCCCCGGCUAACUACGUGCCAGCAGCCGCGGUAAUACGUAGGGGGCAAGCGUUAUCCGGAAUUACUGGGUGUAAAGGGAGCGUAGGCGGUAAUGUAAGUCAGAUGUGAAAGCCCGUGGCUCAACCACGGGACUGCAUUUGAAACUACAUAACUAGAGUACAGGAGAGGAAAGCGGAAUUCCUAGUGUAGCGGUGAAAUGCGUAGAUAUUAGGAGGAACACCAGUGGCGAAGGCGGCUUUCUGGACUGUAACUGACGCUGAGGCUCGAAAGCGUGGGGAGCGAACAGGAUUAGAUACCCCCGUAGUCC
RNAcentral lists this ribosomal RNA (425 nucleotides) under uncultured prokaryote. RNAcentral describes it as "bacterial SSU rRNA". It matches the Rfam family "Bacterial small subunit ribosomal RNA", at positions 355 to 796 of the family's 1533-position model. The record is from RNAcentral.